AGCAGUAGCCGCGGUAAUACGGAGGGUGCAAGCGUUAAUCGGAAUUACUGGGCGUAAAGCGCACGCAGGCGGUCUGUCAAGUCAGAUGUGAAAUCCCCGGGCUUAACCUGGGAACUGCAUUUGAAACUGGCAGGCUAGAGUCUUGUAGAGGGGGGUAGAAUUCCAGGUGUAGCGGUGAAAUGCGUAGAGAUCUGGAGGAAUACCGGUGGCGAAGGCGGCAACCUGGUCCGAUACUGACGCUGAGGCGCGAAAGCGUGGGGAGCAAACAGGAUUAGAUACCCGUGUAGUCCCUGUCUCUUAUAA
This 303-nucleotide ribosomal RNA is filed under the name uncultured bacterium. Its description in RNAcentral is "partial 16S ribosomal RNA". It matches the Rfam family "Bacterial small subunit ribosomal RNA", at positions 507 to 809 of the family's 1533-position model. The record is from RNAcentral.